RNAcentral lists this ribosomal RNA (253 nucleotides) under uncultured bacterium. Its description in RNAcentral is "partial 16S ribosomal RNA". It matches the Rfam family "Bacterial small subunit ribosomal RNA", at positions 524 to 776 of the family's 1533-position model. The record is from RNAcentral.
GACGAACCGUGCGAACGUUGUUCGGAAUCACUGGGCUUAAAGGGCGCGUAGGCGGGGAGGUAAGUCAGGGGUGAAAGCCCACGGCCCAACCGUGGAAGUGCCUUUGAUACUGCCUGUCUCGAGGGAGGUAGGGGCGUGCGGAACUUCCGGUGGAGCGGUGAAAUGCGUAGAUAUCUGGAGGAACACCGGUGGCGAAGGCGGCGUUCUGGACUGUUUCUGACACUGAAAAACGAAAGCCAGGGGAGCAAACGGG